Molecule: ribosomal RNA, 253 nt
Filed under: uncultured bacterium
Lineage: Bacteria
Description: partial 16S ribosomal RNA
Rfam family: Bacterial small subunit ribosomal RNA
Source: RNAcentral
UACGUAGGGUGCAAGCGUUAUCCGGAAUUAUUGGGCGUAAAGAGCUCGUAGGCGGUUUGUCGCGUCUGCUGUGAAAACUGGAGGCUCAACCUCCAGCCUGCAGUGGGUACGGGCAAACUAGAGUGCGGUAGGGGAGAUUGGAAUUCCUGGUGUAGCGGUGGAAUGCGCAGAUAUCAGGAGGAACACCGGUGGCGAAGGCGGGUCUCUGGGCCGUUACUGACGCUGAGGAGCGAAAGCGUGGGGAGCGAACAGG